Molecule: ribosomal RNA, 872 nt
Filed under: uncultured Prevotella sp.
Lineage: Bacteria; Pseudomonadati; Bacteroidota; Bacteroidia; Bacteroidales; Prevotellaceae
Description: bacterial SSU rRNA
Rfam family: Bacterial small subunit ribosomal RNA
Source: RNAcentral
GAAUACCAAAGGUUUACCGCUAUAGGAUGGGGAUGCGUCUGAUUAGGUAGUAGGCGGGGUAACGGCCCACCUAGCCGACGAUCAGUAGGGGUUCUGAGAGGAAGGUCCCCCACAUUGGAACUGAGACACGGUCCAAACUCCUACGGGAGGCAGCAGUGAGGAAUAUUGGUCAAUGGACGGAAGUCUGAACCAGCCAAGUAGCGUGCAGGAUGACGGCCCUAUGGGUUGUAAACUGCUUUUAUAUAGGGAUAAAGUCGGGGACGUGUCCCCGUUUGUAGGUACUAUAUGAAUAAGGACCGGCUAAUUCCGUGCCAGCAGCCGCGGUAAUACGGAAGGUCCAGGCGUUAUCCGGAUUUAUUGGGUUUAAAGGGAGCGCAGGCUGAUGAUUAAGCGUGACGUGAAAUGUAGCCGCUCAACGGCUGAACCGCGUCGCGAACUGGUUAUCUUGAGUGAGUUCGAUGUUGGCGGAAUUCGUGGUGUAGCGGUGAAAUGCUUAGAUAUCACGAAGAACUCCGAUUGCGAAGGCAGCCAACAAGGCCUUUACUGAUGCUAAAGCUCGAAGGUGCGGGUAUCGAACAGGAUUAGAUACCCUGGUAGUCCGCACGGUAAACGAUGGAUGCCCGCUGUUUGCGAUAUACUGUGAGCGGCCAAGAGAAAUCGUUAAGCAUCCCACCUGGGGAGUACGCCGGCAACGGUGAAACUCAAAGGAAUUGACGGGGGCCGCACAAGCGGAGGAACAUGUGGUUUAAUUCGAUGAUACGCGAGGAACCUUACCCGGGCUUGAACUGCCAGCGAACGAUUCAGAGAUGAUGAGGUCCUUCGGGACGCUGGUGGAGGUGCUGCAUGGUUGUCGUCAGCUCGUGCCGUGAGGU